GAUGAACGCUGGCGGCGUGCUUAACACAUGCAAGUCGAACGAAGAUGCCGGAGUGCUUGCACUUUGGCAGACUGAGUGGCGGACGGGUGAGUAACGCGUGGGUAACCUGCCUUAUACAGGGGGAUAACAGUUGGAAACGACUGCUAAUACCGCAUAAGCGCACGGUAUCGCAUGAUACAGUGUGAAAAACUCCGGUGGUAUAAGAUGGACCCGCGUCUGAUUAGCUUGUUGGUGAGGUAACGGCCCACCAAGGCGACGAUCAGUAGCCGGCCUGAGAGGGUGAACGGCCACAUUGGGACUGAGACACGGCCCAGACUCCUACGGGAGGCAGCAGUGGGGAAUAUUGCACAAUGGGGGAAACCCUGAUGCAGCGACGCCGCGUGGAGGAAGAAGGUCUUCGGAUUGGUAAACUCCUGUUGUUGAGGAAGAUAAUGACGGUACUCAACAAGGAAGUGACGGCUAACUACGUG
RNAcentral lists this ribosomal RNA (470 nucleotides) under uncultured bacterium. RNAcentral's name for it is "bacterial SSU rRNA". It matches the Rfam family "Bacterial small subunit ribosomal RNA", at positions 28 to 507 of the family's 1533-position model. The record is from RNAcentral.